Molecule: ribosomal RNA, 274 nt
Filed under: uncultured bacterium
Lineage: Bacteria
Description: partial 16S ribosomal RNA
Rfam family: Bacterial small subunit ribosomal RNA
Source: RNAcentral
AGACGGACCGCCCGAACGUUACUCGGAAUCACUGGGCUUAAAGGGUGUGUAGGCGGCUUGGUAAGUCGGGUGUGAAAGCCCUCGGCUCAACCGAGGAACUGCGCCCGAUACUGCCAAGCUAGAGGGAGGCAGAGGUGAGCGGAACCACGGGUGGAGCGGUGAAAUGCUUUGAUAUCCGUGGGAACACCAGUGGCGAAGGCGGCUCACUGGGCCUCUUCUGACGUUGAAACACGAAAGCCAGGGGAGCGAACGGGAUUAGAAACCCUAGUAGUCC